RNAcentral lists this ribosomal RNA (404 nucleotides) under uncultured bacterium. RNAcentral's name for it is "bacterial SSU rRNA". It matches the Rfam family "Bacterial small subunit ribosomal RNA", at positions 355 to 776 of the family's 1533-position model. The record is from RNAcentral.
UGGGGAAUAUUGGACAAUGGGCGAAAGCCUGAUCCAGCAAUGCCGCGUGAGUGAUGAAGGCCUUCGGGUUGUAAAGCUCUUUCGCGCGCGACGAUGAUGACGGUAGCGCGAGAAGAAGCCCCGGCUAACUUCGUGCCAGCAGCCGCGGUAAUACGAAGGGGGCUAGCGUUGUUCGGAAUUACUGGGCGUAAAGGGCGCGUAGGCGGUGUGUCAAGUCAGGCGUGAAAGCCCCGGGCUUAACCUGGGAAAUGCGCUUGAGACUGGCACGCUAGAGUUCGGGAGAGGCGAGUGGAAUUCCCAGUGUAGAGGUGAAAUUCGUAGAUAUUGGGAAGAACACCGGUGGCGAAGGCGGCUCGCUGGACCGAUACUGACGCUGAGGCGCGAAAGCGUGGGGAGCAAACAGG